UGGAAAUCAAACAAUUCCCUAUUAUUGGGGAGAUUUUAUUUGCUGGUAACCCUAAUUGUACACUAACGCCCUCCUGUCAAUGUCAUCCAAGUGCCAACAAAAGAUCCAUGUAGCACUAUACUUCGUUGAGCGAAAAGAACUACUUCAUUCAUUUCUUUCCAAUGACACAUUUUUCACACGGCCGUUCACUAUCAUGUGUACCAAAAGGUUGCUUCCUAAGGAUGUUAAAGUUGCUCAUGGAUCAAAUUAAUAUAAAUUCGGAAAAUAAUAUUAGGGCAGGAUUUCGUAAGACCGGUAUCAGUUCAUUAAAUCCUAAUGAAGUGUUGGCAAGAUUACUGGAAGGAGCGCAGUAUUAUGAAGAGGCUAAAGAAGCUGAAGAAGAGAAUGCGAUACGGAAGUGCCUGAAAUACCUGAUCGUUGUAAUGUGCGCACUCAUUCAUCUCCGUAUUUUUUAAGCGCCCGAACAAUCUGUCGGCCGGACUAAAAAGUCUGCUGAUAGAUAGAUAGAUUUCUCAAUAAAUAAAUAAUUUUGUACUACUUACGUACUUUGUAUUUGGUGUUGUAUUUCGAGUUUAAUAAAAUAUUCGAUGUGAAGAAAAAAAAA
Helicoverpa armigera (cotton bollworm) is the source of this 604-nucleotide long non-coding RNA. RefSeq lists it as uncharacterized. The transcript has 2 exons. Lineage: Eukaryota; Metazoa; Arthropoda; Insecta; Lepidoptera; Noctuidae. The record is from RefSeq and is a predicted model, not a curated record.